GAUGAACGCUAGCUACAGGCUUAACACAUGCAAGUCGAGGGGAAACGACAUCGAAAGCUUGCUUUUGAUGGGCGUCGACCGGCGCACGGGUGAGUAACGCGUAUCCAACCUGCCCACCACUUGGGGAUAACCUUGCGAAAGUAAGACUAAUACCCAAUGAUAUCCCACGAAGGCAUCCGAAUGGGAUUAAAGAUUUAUCGGUGAUGGAUGGGGAUGCGUCUGAUUAGCUUGUUGGCGGGGUAACGGCCCACCAAGGCAACGAUCAGUAGGGGUUCUGAGAGGAAGGUCCCCCCACAUUGGAACUGAGACACGGUCCAAACUCCUACGGGAGGCAGCAGUGAGGAAUAUUGGUCAAUGGGCGAGAGCCUGAACCAGCCAAGUAGCGUGCAGGAUGACGGCCCUAUGGGUUGUAAACUGCUUUUAUAAGGGAUAAAGUGGGUCUCGUGAGACUUUUUGCAUGUACCUUAUGAAUAAGGACCGGCUAAUUCCGUG
RNAcentral lists this ribosomal RNA (492 nucleotides) under uncultured bacterium. Its description in RNAcentral is "bacterial SSU rRNA". It matches the Rfam family "Bacterial small subunit ribosomal RNA", at positions 28 to 507 of the family's 1533-position model. The record is from RNAcentral.